Drosophila suzukii is the source of this 682-nucleotide non-coding RNA. The record is from RefSeq and is a predicted model, not a curated record. Lineage: Eukaryota; Metazoa; Arthropoda; Insecta; Diptera; Drosophilidae.
UGCUUUACAUGAUGUGCCCGAAAACUUAAAUAGAAUAAGUAAAUAUACUCAAGGGAGUGAUGAUCAGUUUCGAAGUUUGUCUGGUAUAGUUGAGCCACAUACCCCAGCUGAGGAAGAAUACGAUUAUGGAGAUAUUACUGGAUAUGCUUAUGAGAGUGUUCAACUUCCGAGUAAUAAUAACUUACAUGAGUCUACAUCUGGAAUUAUGUCAAAGUUACUCGUAACUGAUUUGUAUAAAAAUAGUAAAAACGGAUACGAAAAUUUUCAAAGAGAUUCCACGUCUCAUUACGAAGAAAAUCCCGAGCGUCUAAAUUCUUUAGCCGAUCUAUCGAAACAUAAGAGAGAAAUAAACUUUAAGGACAUUACGGAUAUUGCACUUACAACUUUGGCUUUUUUAUCGUUUGGAAUGUUUACUUUACAAGUGCUGAUGUGCAUAGUUAUGGUAACUACAACAUUUAAAUAUUAUUGAUAAGCCUAUACUAAAGGAAAAUUAAAAAGAAUGAUUUAAUCUAUCUCUUAUUAUGUUUAUUGUACUGUAUGUAUCUAAGCGGUAGAAAAGUACAAAGUAUAAGCUCAUCGGUAGAGUUUCAUCCUGGGAAUAACAAGUGAUAAAUCGACCAUGUUAUAUACAAGCCAAACAAAAAACUAAAAAAAAUAAUUAAAAAAAUAAAUGAAAAACCGU